This 105-nucleotide small RNA is filed under the name zebrafish metagenome. RNAcentral describes it as "RtT RNA". It matches the Rfam family "RtT RNA", at positions 16 to 120 of the family's 130-position model. Rfam says of the family: This family represents a bacterial cis-regulatory element known as RtT RNA. The exact function of RtT is unknown although it is thought that it may be involved in changing the cellular response in relation to amino acid starvation. The record is from RNAcentral.
UGGGAGGGUGAGAACUCUCGCGGGUUCGAGCCGAGCGCAGCGAGACAACAUCGCGCAGCGAUGGCCCCGAAGGGGGGGCGCGCCAGCGCAUAAUCCUCCCUCACC